GCGCCAUGUGCAGGAGAGAGCUACAUCAGGUUACGCGUAGCCGCCGAAGGCGCAGAUGCCCUUAAAUCGCUCAGGCAACAGGGACUGCACAUUGAAA
RNAcentral lists this non-coding RNA (97 nucleotides) under Neisseria mucosa. RNAcentral describes it as "Glycine sequence". It matches the Rfam family "Glycine riboswitch aptamer". From Rfam's summary of the family: This family represents the bacterial glycine riboswitch. Glycine riboswitches usually consist of two metabolite-binding aptamers domains with similar structures in tandem. The record is from RNAcentral. RNAcentral also lists the same sequence under 1 other name. Lineage: Bacteria; Pseudomonadati; Pseudomonadota; Betaproteobacteria; Neisseriales; Neisseriaceae.